UCUCUCUCUCACAAAGCUCCGCCGCUGCGGAAGCUUCGCCGGGAAGCAGCGGCGAUAAGCCGCCGUCUGCUGCUGUUCCCGGAGUCGCGGCCUGGAGUUGCAGAGCUCCGAAAUCCGGCGAAUCAGCCUCUAUCGCGCCGAGGUCCGGCGCCUCCUUCUCUCUUCCUCAAUCUUGCUCUAAUCUCUCCUAAAUCAAACGCUCCCUUCGGUUCUCUCUCGAUCUGUAUUCAGCCGAGGAAUCCACCGCCGCUGCAACUGGAUUCCGGCGAGCACCAUCGACUGGGAGCCGCUGGAGUGCCGCUGGAGUCCGCUUCUGCUUCGCCGGGAGGAGCUGUCGUCCCUGGAGCUGCUGCUGCUCGCCCGGAGUCGCCGCUGGCUGGCCUGCGAUCGACGGCCAGCAGCUCGCUGGAGGAGCGCCGCCGUCAGCCGCUGCCGUUGGCAGCAAGAAUCCGGCAGCCGCCUCUCCUGGUGCCGCCGUCGCCAUGGACAGCAGGGCUUCGACUUUCCACCGUCUUCCCUCUCAUUUUAUCACUCGAUAGGUUCGUAUAUUAGAAUUAUUUUUCAGAAAACUCAACUUUGUAUAAAGACUUGAUUUUGGAAUGAAAACUUGGUUUUCU
Molecule: long non-coding RNA, 617 nt
Filed under: Salvia miltiorrhiza (redroot sage)
Lineage: Eukaryota; Viridiplantae; Streptophyta; Magnoliopsida; Lamiales; Lamiaceae
Description: long non-coding RNA (SMIL_LNC012083)
Source: RNAcentral